This 492-nucleotide ribosomal RNA is filed under the name uncultured bacterium. RNAcentral describes it as "partial 16S ribosomal RNA". It matches the Rfam family "Bacterial small subunit ribosomal RNA", at positions 29 to 507 of the family's 1533-position model. The record is from RNAcentral.
AGUGAACGCUGGCGGUAGGCCUAACACAUGCAAGUCGAACGGCAGCACAGUAAGAGCUUGCUCUUACGGGUGGCGAGUGGCGGACGGGUGAGGAAUACAUCGGAAUCUACUUUUUCGUGGGGGAUAACGUAGGGAAACUUACGCUAAUACCGCAUACGACCUACGGUUGAAAGCAGGGGAUCUUCGGACCUUUCGCGAUUGAAUGAGCCGAUGUCGGAUUAGCUAGUUGGCGGGGUAAAGGCCCACCAAGGCGACGAUCCGUAGCUGGUCUGAGAGGAUGAUCAGCCACACUGGAACUGAGACACGGUCCAGACUCCUACGGGAGGCAGCAGUGGGGAAUAUUGGACAAUGGGCGCAAGCCUGAUCCAGCAAUACCGCGUGGGUGAAGAAGGCCUUCGGGUUGUAAAGCCCUUUUGUUGGGAAAGAAAAGCAGCAGGUUAAUACCCCGCUGUUCUGACGGUACCCAAAGAAUAAGCACCGGCUAACUUCGUG